GGCCCGUUCGUCUAGGGGCUAGGACGCAAGGUUUUCAUCCUUGAAACAGGGGUUCGAUUCCCCUACGGGCUA
RNAcentral lists this transfer RNA (72 nucleotides) under Prevotellaceae bacterium. RNAcentral's name for it is "tRNA-Glu". It matches the Rfam family "tRNA". Rfam says of the family: Transfer RNA (tRNA) molecules are approximately 80 nucleotides in length. The record is from RNAcentral. Lineage: Bacteria; Pseudomonadati; Bacteroidota; Bacteroidia; Bacteroidales; Prevotellaceae.